AUGAAUAAAGCUUUGCUGGCUAAGUGGCUAUGGAAGCUAGAGACAGAAGAUGGGAUGUGGGCCAAAAUUCUUUUAAACAAAUAUGUCAAAGGAAAAUGUAUUUCUGGAGUUAAAAAGAAACCUGGAGACUCUCAUUUUUGGGGAGCUCUGAUGCAGAUCAAAGACAUUUACUAUAAAAAUGUUAAGAAAAAAUUAGGAGAUGGACUAAAUACUAGGUUUUGGGAAGAUUGGUGGGUAGGAUCA
This 243-nucleotide ribosomal RNA is filed under the name Triticum aestivum (bread wheat). RNAcentral's name for it is "partial small subunit ribosomal RNA". Lineage: Eukaryota; Viridiplantae; Streptophyta; Magnoliopsida; Poales; Poaceae. The record is from RNAcentral.